RNAcentral lists this transfer RNA (67 nucleotides) under Neotoma lepida (desert woodrat). It matches the Rfam family "tRNA". From Rfam's summary of the family: Transfer RNA (tRNA) molecules are approximately 80 nucleotides in length. Their secondary structure includes four short double-helical elements and three loops (D, anti-codon, and T loops). The record is from Rfam by way of RNAcentral. Lineage: Eukaryota; Metazoa; Chordata; Mammalia; Rodentia; Cricetidae.
GGAGAGAUGGCUCAGUGGGUAAGAGCACUUGCUCCUGCAGAGGACCUGGGUUCAAUUCCCAGCUCCC